This 71-nucleotide transfer RNA is filed under the name Loxodonta africana (African savanna elephant). It matches the Rfam family "tRNA". Rfam says of the family: Transfer RNA (tRNA) molecules are approximately 80 nucleotides in length. Their secondary structure includes four short double-helical elements and three loops (D, anti-codon, and T loops). Further hydrogen bonds mediate the characteristic L-shaped molecular structure. tRNAs have two regions of fundamental functional importance: the anti-codon, which is responsible for specific mRNA codon recognition, and the 3' end, to which the tRNAs corresponding amino acid is attached (by aminoacyl-tRNA synthetases). tRNAs cope with the degeneracy of the genetic code in two manners: having more than one tRNA (with a specific anti-codon) for a particular amino acid; and 'wobble' base-pairing, i.e. permitting non-standard base-pairing at the 3rd anti-codon position. The record is from Rfam by way of RNAcentral. Lineage: Eukaryota; Metazoa; Chordata; Mammalia; Proboscidea; Elephantidae.
GAAGUGGUGGUUCAGUGACAGAAUUCUUACCUUCCUCACAGGAGACCCAGGUUCAAUUCCUGGCCAAUGCG